This 102-nucleotide ribosomal RNA is filed under the name Eimeria maxima. Its description in RNAcentral is "large subunit ribosomal RNA". The record is from RNAcentral. Lineage: Eukaryota; Apicomplexa; Conoidasida; Eucoccidiorida; Eimeriidae.
UUUUUAAAAACCAUAGUGUGAUAAUAAUAAAAUUCCUUCAUAUUGAAUAUGCUGACUUUAGUAACGGAAAAUAGAUUGUUUCAGCUAUCCAUGGUGAUAAGA